Long non-coding RNA from Leucoraja erinaceus (little skate), 93 nucleotides. RefSeq lists it as uncharacterized. NCBI's taxonomy places the organism in Eukaryota, Metazoa, Chordata, Chondrichthyes, Rajiformes, Rajidae. The transcript is spliced from 3 exons. The record is from RefSeq and is a predicted model, not a curated record.
CAGAAGUGCACAGUUUGAGAAAGGCUUUAAAUAAUGCAAAAACUGAUUUGCAAAGUAAACAAGAAGAACUUGACCAACACAUCAAAGUUGAUG